RNAcentral lists this small RNA (389 nucleotides) under Klebsiella sp. RIT-PI-d. RNAcentral's name for it is "Enterobacterial sRNA STnc550". It matches the Rfam family "Enterobacterial sRNA STnc550". Lineage: Bacteria; Pseudomonadati; Pseudomonadota; Gammaproteobacteria; Enterobacterales; Enterobacteriaceae. The record is from Rfam by way of RNAcentral.
UAAAUCUUACUCCGGACCCUGGCCUGAACGCCUGCAAAUAGGAGGGUAAACGUUUGCCUUUACACACCCCUGUUGCAAUUUCGUCGUCAUUGCUUUGCGCCGGGAAAUGACACAUUACGUCAGGUGAGGGGUAAUGACUGGUACGCUUAUAAUUAAGCGUGGAAUUUUGGCCGAUUCUGAAGAAAAGUGAAAGAGAAAAAUGUGUCUCACUUUAAAUCCUGCAAGAUUUUCGCCGCAAGGUGUGUAAAAAUGGACAAGCUCACAUUUCACAAGGUUAUAACAAGGAGUAAAAAUCGAUGAGUACCGAUCUUAAGUUUUCCCUGGUCACCACGAUCAUUGUCCUGAGUCUGAUUGUCGCAAGUGCUCUGGUUGCUGUCCUGCACUGAUUG